GGAGUGGGAAGUGCGCUGUUGUGGAGGCAAGGACGGCGGGGGGAGGGGAAGGAGGGGCCACUCAUCCACCCGUUAGAACACUACUUUCUGCAACAAGAUUGAGCAACGAACCUGCAUUACGAAGUGUUUAAAAACUUUGGAGACUUCAAGUCAAGUGCGACGACGAAGCGUUCUCACCAUGAGCAGCGACGUCGCCAGCGUCAGCAUCUCUUGUUCCAAGUGUGUCAAGGAGAGAAAUAACGGAUUGAUUCCCACUACUGCAGUCGAGUGAGUGGCAAAAAAAGGAACCAGAAGCAGAGCACGCGAAGGUGUGAGCGGUGAGUGCACAAAAACUGCGUUGCCCUUGAGGCUGUGUGACCACGUGUAUCGUCUGGAUGGACUGGUCCUUACUGCUCUGCACGUAUGGCGCGGUAGGGCGAUAGAGAGAGACUUGCGCCAUCCACGCGGAAUAUGUCGGUGCCGAUGUUGAAGCAGCGCCGAAAUACCAAGGUGUCGUCCCGGUUCGAGAGGAUGCCGACGUUUCAAUUAUCACACCUGCUACACGCCGCUCGCCGUCGAAACCUGACGCAGAACUUUUUAUUCUCGGAUCUUCUAUUUUCUUUUUCUCUUUCUCCUUUUUUUUCUUUCUUUUGUUUUUUGUUGUUUAUGUGUCUUGAUUUGUCUGUAAACGAACUCUAAGUCUUGUGUUUUUUGUGCGAUUUGCUAUUUUAUUUUAGUCUUUGGUCAUUUAUUUUGGUUAUUGAUAUGUCUUUGGUCAUUUAUUUUGCUUAUUGAUAUUUUUUGUUGAAUUUAAUUAGGUAUUAUGUGUACCGAAAAAGGGUGUUGCAAUUAACGGCACACCCACUCGUAUGUAUGUAUGAAUAAAGAAAAAAAAAUCAAUAUAUUUAUAUAUGUACUUAAUUCACAUUUAUCUUGUUUACAUUUACAUCCAUUCAUUCAUUUCCUUAUUUGUUUAUCGAUCAGUUUAUUUAUUGCGCCAAUUCUAAAACGACCAUGCAUAUCAAUCCGACCACUAGGAAAUGAUCGAUCUCAAACUUCAGAAGUUAUCAAGUGAUCUCCUGUGUUCGCUGUAUCAACCACAACGUCCAGAGGCAAGUGUUCGUUAGACAGCGAACACCUGCAACUUUUUCGGGUGAAAGUUAUUGCUUUUGGGAUAAUAAAACAAAGUUCGACCGACAAUGAAUUAUUGAAUUUUCAUUAUUUUUCCUUGGAAAGGCUAUAAUUUUUAUCAUUGUUUAUAAGAUAAGAAUUGGAUCGUGGAUAUUAUAUCUAUUUUAACACUUGGUGUAUAUUCGUGGAAUGGUAGAAUUUAAGCUUUUGCUCGACGUUUUCGAAUUGAAACAAUCAUCCUUUUGGCAACAAGCGCACCUGUCGCGAUGUUGGCCAAUCCACGCACACCAUCACACGCCUCUCCCCACGUGUGCAGGCCCGUGGUUCGUAGUGAUCAUAUACCUCCGUCAAAUAGUCUACUAUCUUUAACAAUUCGUCACAACAAUAUAUGCCUUCAUUUGCAUA
Long non-coding RNA from Penaeus monodon (black tiger shrimp), 1515 nucleotides. RefSeq lists it as uncharacterized. The transcript has 3 exons. Lineage: Eukaryota; Metazoa; Arthropoda; Malacostraca; Decapoda; Penaeidae. The record is from RefSeq and is a predicted model, not a curated record.